GGGGGUGAAUUGGUAUCGAUGUUGUAUUGAUUAUUUAAAAACAUGUCGUUUUUAAAGUAAUUUUCGUAAAAAAUUACUAAGGCAUUAUAAACGCCAAAGAAAAUUAUAAUUACGCUUUAGCAGCUUAAAACUGAUAAACAAACUUUUAUAAAUAUUAUCUUAAAUAUUAUAAAAGAAAAAUAAGAUAAGCAUUUGAAUAUAUAAUUUUAAAAAAUGCUGAAAAUAAAAAAAUAAAUAAUUAAACGCAGAAUAAUUAUUUAAAAUUUAUGCAAAAAAAAACAUGUUACAAUUUUUAAAUAAAAAAUACUACAGACGUGGGUUCAAAUCCCACCACCUCCA
This 339-nucleotide transfer-messenger RNA is filed under the name Candidatus Azoamicus ciliaticola. RNAcentral describes it as "endosymbiont of Plagiopylea sp. transfer-messenger RNA, SsrA". It matches the Rfam family "transfer-messenger RNA". From Rfam's summary of the family: Bacterial tmRNA, also known as 10Sa RNA or SsrA, is named for its dual tRNA and mRNA-like properties. Its role is to liberate the mRNA from a stalled ribosome. The record is from RNAcentral. Lineage: Bacteria; Pseudomonadati; Pseudomonadota; Gammaproteobacteria; Candidatus Azoamicaceae.